RNAcentral lists this ribosomal RNA (1246 nucleotides) under Candidatus Phytoplasma citri. Its description in RNAcentral is "bacterial SSU rRNA". It matches the Rfam family "Bacterial small subunit ribosomal RNA", at positions 154 to 1399 of the family's 1533-position model. The record is from RNAcentral. Lineage: Bacteria; Bacillati; Mycoplasmatota; Mollicutes; Acholeplasmatales; Acholeplasmataceae.
GAACGACUGCUAAGACUGGAUAGGAGGAUAAAAGGCAUCUUUUAUCUUUUAAAAGACCUAGUAAUAGGUAUGCUUUAGGAGGGGCUUGCGCCAUAUUAGUUAGUUGGUAGGGUAAUGGCCUACCAAGACGAUGAUGUGUAGCUGGACUGAGAGGUUGAACAGCCACAUUGGGACUGAGACACGGCCCAAACUCCUACGGGAGGCAGCAGUAGGGAAUUUUCGGCAAUGGAGGAAACUCUGACCGAGCAACGCCGCGUGAAUGACGAAGUACUUCGGUAUGUAAAGUUCUUUUAUCAAGGAAGAAAAGCAAAUGGCGAACCAUUUGUUUGCCGGUACUUGAUGAAUAAGCCCCGGCUAAUUAUGUGCCAGCAGCCGCGGUAAGACAUAAGGGGCAAGUGUUAUCCGGAAUUAUUGGGCGUAAAGGGUGCGUAGGCGGUCUAGUAAGUCAGUGGUGUAAUGGCAACGCUUAACGUUGUCCGGCUAUUGAAACUGCUAAACUUGAGUUAGAUAGAGGCGAGUGGAAUUCCAUGUGUAGCGGUAAAAUGCGUAAAUAUAUGGAGGAACACCAGAGGCGUAGGCGGCUCGCUGGGUCUUAACUGACGCUGAGGCACGAAAGCGUGGGGAGCAAACAGGAUUAGAUACCCUGGUAGUCCACGCCGUAAACGAUGAGUACUAAGUGUCGGGUUAAACCGGUACUGAAGUUAACACAUUAAGUACUCCGCCUGAGUAGUACGUACGCAAGUAUGAAACUUAAAGGAAUUGACGGGACUCCGCACAAGCGGUGGAUCAUGUUGUUUAAUUCGAAGAUACCCGAAAAACCUUACCAGGUCUUGACAUGUUUUUGCAAAAUGAUAGUAAUAUCGUGGAGGUUACCAGAAACACAGGUGGUGCAUGAUUGUCGUCAGCUCGUGUCGUGAGAUGUUAGGUUAAGUCCUAAAACGAGCGAAACCCUUAUCGUUAGUUGCCAGCACGUUAUGGUGGGGACUUUAACGAGACUGCCAAUGAUAAAUUGGAGGAAGGUGAGGAUCACGUCAAAUCAGCAUGCCCCUUAUGACCUGGGCUACAAACGUGAUACAAUGGCUGUUACAAAGGGUAGCUGAAACGCAAGUUCUUGGCCAAUCCCCAAAAACAGUCCCAGUCCGGAUUGAAGUCUGCAACUCGACUUCAUGAAGUUGGAAUCGCUAGUAAUCGCGAAUCAGCAUGUCGCGGUGAAUACGUUCGCGGGGUUUGUACACACCGCCCGUCA